CCUAAACCCAAGCGGUUUUCUUUUCAUGUUAGAAACAAACAUUUUGUGUAACCAUUUUUAGGAGUUAUGGACAACAUAUUUUAAGGAUUUAUUCUCUAAUCUUUCGUAAUAAUAGCAAAUGACUGAAACUGGACACCUGGAGUGGUUACUUUUUUCACCCUUUGCUCAUUCUCCUCCCUUCACGUUCUCUCCCCAUAACAAAACGUCGCCGAAUUCCUUUAGUUUUUGGCUGUCGGCGUUGAGAAAUGUUUAAGGAACAAAAUGUUGGAUUGAUUGAAUAGAUGAAAAUCAGUACAUAUAACCCUCUAAAGAACGUAGUGUAAGGAGCGGAAAAGAGAUAGAAAAUUCAUCAUCUCCAUGGAUGAAAAAGAGUGAGAAGGAUAACGUAGAGGAGGAGGAGGAGGGCGCGUAACGGGACAGCACGGAGGAUAACAAGUUGUAAAGUCCAAGAAAACUAUGGAAAUGUAUGAUUUUUGACAGCAGGGCAUAAUUUGCAAACACAUUCCACCAAAAAAGGACCUUGAGAAUGGAUGGAGAAAAAGAAAAAGAGCUGGAGAGAGGAGAUGAAAAAGAGAGUGAUGAGACAGAGGAGGAUGCAGAGGGGGCAGCCUUAUUAUGGCACGGGGGAUACCCUGAUGAUGAACUGGGCUUACCCAUCAUGCACUGGGAGGAUCUGAGUCUUCGUAUUGCUGAACUUGAGAAGCAACAAGAAGAGCGGAGACAGAGGGAAAAGGACUUGGACAGGCUGACAGUAGACUGGCCAGAAAUCAGAGGGCUGAGCAGUCACAGAGAGCCCUGUGAGGACAUGGAGGACGAAUGCAACAGUCGUCUGACUGCUCUGACAUCAAGGCUUCAGAGCCAGAUGAAUCUACAGCUCUGCUUCAUCAACAACAGUGAAAGUGAAGAGGAAGAAGAGGAAAUGGAGGCAAAGAAAGAGGUGGCAAAACAGUCCAGUAAGAGUGGCAGCAAUCAGAGGUUAGAGAAGGAAUGUGGUUCAAGCUCUGCAUCGACAAAGAAAACCAAAUCAAGAGGGUUCAAGAAUGAUGUCAGAGCUGCACUGAGUGUACUCAGACAUAAAUUGAGAUUGGAGCAAAAACAGACUAUACCUCCCAGUGAGGCUGUCAGAGAAAGGAAGCACUAUGAACGAAAUGACUUAAAGAAUUUCAGCUUGAAGGAGUUGAAAGCAUUGAGGACCUCACUAAGCAAAGACAUCCAUGACCUCAGUUCAGAGCUGGUGGGUCGACUUCUCACAAGGGACCAGCUAAGAACAGAGCAGGACGCCAUGCUACUGGAGGUACAAGAUAUGACAUCACUCUGAUGCACAAUCAGAAAAAAAAAAGUAUGUCCACUAAGGAACAAAAUGACGGGACCUUUCCUUUACAAGACUGUCCAUGAGCUGCCUGAACUAAUUGACUUUACUGUGAAAAGCUACAGCACUCCAUCAUCACUUUGAAACCCUUUAAAGGUUUUUAUAGUUUUUCAUUUCAGCUUUUUUAUUGACAUUUUUAAGGCACCGAUGAGGAUUUAAAACUGCAGUUUACACUCUUACAGUUGCAAGAUCAGACUGAUAAAGCAACAAAGUGAGAAAAGGCCACAUUCAAAGCAACAAAAGACAAUUUUUUGCUCAAUAUUACUCUAAUUUGUUUAGUGGCAAAGCCAAUUAUGCCAAGCCUCACAUGUUAAGACAUGGCUCAUUAAAUGCUACAAAGUAUGAACAAAGAGUGAAAAAUUGAAGGGGGUCUGAAUACUUUCCGUACCCACUGUACAUUGCUAAGCAACUCUUAACUGGAUUGUUUGUGUCACUGUUUGUGAAAUACUUAAAUAUUAUUUUGUGGAAUAAAAGGGAACUCAGAAAGAUCGUAUAUGUGUACUGUUUUGUUGUAAUGGUAUAUUAUUGCUCUUCUGUUGUGU
RNAcentral lists this long non-coding RNA (1911 nucleotides) under Sinocyclocheilus anshuiensis. RNAcentral describes it as "lncRNA (ENSSANG00000020540.1)". Lineage: Eukaryota; Metazoa; Chordata; Actinopteri; Cypriniformes; Cyprinidae. The record is from RNAcentral.